This 1193-nucleotide long non-coding RNA is filed under the name Ananas comosus (pineapple). RNAcentral describes it as "long non-coding RNA (ACOM_LNC012912)". Lineage: Eukaryota; Viridiplantae; Streptophyta; Magnoliopsida; Poales; Bromeliaceae. The record is from RNAcentral.
AAAAUAAUAAAACUAUCUAUAUAUUGCUAACUAUUGUAGAAAAUAGGCAGAAAAUGGUGAUGUUACUAAUAGAGCUAUUUAAUAAUAAGGGUUAGUUACAUAUAUAUAUAUAUAGCUCCUUGUGAACAUAUCGAAUUGCAGGUAUAUCUUUACAAAGUUUAACUUUUUAUAUUUAUCUUUAAAGUCCUAACGUUUUUAAAUAUACCCAUGCUGUUAGCAUUCGUUAGAAAAAUAUAAUUACCCAUAAAUAAAAUAUAUAAUCCUAAUUAGUGAACGAGGUAAAUUAAUCUUUUUACUCCUCUUAUAUUAUUUAUAAUGGUAGAAAAGAAGAAGAUGGCAUUUGGAGAUUUUUAGGGGACAUUUAUGCAUAAUUCUAACAGUUGAAAUUUUUGGAGGGACAUAUUUGUAAUAGUAAAAAUAUCAUUUCACUCAUUUAAAAAAUAAAUAACACUCUAACGGUAAUAAAUCAAAGGGGCAAAUAUGAAUAUCACUGAAUUUUUAUAGGAACAAAUAUAAAAAGUUGAACUUUGUAUGGAUAUAUUUGCUAUUCGAUAUGUUUAAAAGUAGCCGGACUUUAUGAAAUUAACCCUAAUAAUAACUACAAUGUGCAUAUUAGAUUUUCUACUAGAGUUGUUGGCUAAUACCCUCGUCUUAGGGCUAGGUGACUUAGGGGUGGCAAUCCAGCUCGUUGUUCGCGAGCCAGCUCGUGUUCGGCUCGAAAUGAGCUCGAGAUCGGCUCGCUCGUUUAGUAAACGAGCCGAACACGAGCUGGAUUUUUUAACUCAUUUAAUAAACGAGCCGAACACGAGCUGGGGUCAGCUCGCUCGUGUUCGGCUCGAUAACAGCUCGAAUGCAAAUAUUUUAUAUUUAUAUAAUUUAUUUAAUUUAUAUUUUUAUAUAUAAAUAAAUAAUUAUAUAUAAUAUAUAUUUUUAUUAUUUUAUUUUUAGCAAAAUAAAAAUAUAAAUGCGAGCUUAAUUAUAAGAAGACUCAUUUAUAUAUAAAGUUUCAACUAUUAAAUCAAAGUCUAAUUGAUAAGAUUUGAUAACUUUAUUUUUUAUAUAUAUUUAAUCUAAUCUUUUUUAAUUUAUUGCUCGUUGGCCAGCUCGUGAGCCACGAGCUGAAUUUUUCGGCUCGAUAUUUUAACAAGCCAGCUCGUGUUCGGCUUGUUUAAUAAACGAGCUGAACACGAGCA